Molecule: long non-coding RNA, 387 nt
Organism: Dromaius novaehollandiae (emu)
Lineage: Eukaryota; Metazoa; Chordata; Aves; Casuariiformes; Dromaiidae
Exons: 4
Source: RefSeq, a predicted model, not a curated record
GUUUUUGGGGCUGGAGCUGCCUUGCUUGUGGGUGUUAGCCAUGGUGGUGUGUGGAGUGUGUCCGUGAUGGACUGGAGUGGUGGUGUUGCAGGCAUCGCCUGAGUGUGUGAUUUCUCUCUGUGCUUGCAGGUUUUGCGGGAAGUUGUGGAGAGAAGCAGCUGAGUGCUGAGAAGAGCCUGAGCAGGUCUGCUGUGGGCCUUUCCCAGGCGUGGCUGAGACUUUCAGGUGCCACUGGCUUCCUCCCCAGGCAUUGGAGUUGUUGUGGUGCAGGUGAUGAAGGCAAAUGUGGUGAGCAAAGGAAGAUCAGUGUGGAUGCGGCUGCUGCUGAGGAUGGCUCUUGAGGACCGGUGACCUACAGCAGUGCCACAGUUAAGUUGAGGGGCAAAG